This 2106-nucleotide long non-coding RNA is filed under the name Sus scrofa (pig). RNAcentral describes it as "lncRNA (ENSSSCG00030066122.1)". The record is from RNAcentral. Lineage: Eukaryota; Metazoa; Chordata; Mammalia; Artiodactyla; Suidae.
CGUUAAAUGCUUCUUAAAGAGAUUUAUUAGUCAUAAAGGUCAGAGAAGAAAAUCACAUAACAAAAUAUUCAGCUCCAUUCAGCAGCUGCCUUGGGAACCACUUGCUCUAAAUGCCAAAUAACUUCCCCAAAGGUCCCCUCUCCCCUGCGGUGGAGAACACGGGUGACUGCAGCAGAACCUCAGCCCUUUGCUUUGCUUGGCUCUCUUUUCUUACAGGGGAACAGGCUAACCCAGGAACAAAGAAAAGCAUUAGCUUCAAUCAUUGCAAAAGAUACUAUGUAAUCCAUGGCAAGACCAAUACAACUGACUGAGAGGGAAUUUGCAGUUAUCUAAAGGUAGUUCCCUCCCUCCCCCAGUAAGUAUGGGUUUUAAAAAUCAUGAAAGUUUGGGUGGUUUUCAAUUCUGUCUUUCCACAAAAAUGAUAAAAUGAGACAUCGAGAGAUGACUCUGUAAAUAAUUGCAGAUUACUCUACUUAUGAGAAGCAAUUUCAGAGCCUUUCUAUGCUGUACCAAGGAGGAAAGUACUUUAGAGGAGUCAAAAGUUAUGAAAAUAUAUCUUAUCCCCUCCCUUAGCAUAUAACCAUCUUGAGGAGUAUCCCAUAAAAGAUUUUAUUGCAUCAUUAUCUGAAUGUUCAGAUUGGAGGAUAAGAAAUUCAAGUCUGAGCAACAGCUCUCCAGAAAGGACUGUCACAUAGAUAGGUAAGAAUUUAAAUUCACUCCUUAAGAAAGUUAUUUGACUGAAGAAAUGUUAACAGUUAAAAGCAAUGUUGAUUAAUUGGCUAUCACAGUCACUAUAAGAACAGUCAAAUGACAGCAAUCACUGCGACAUCUUAGCAGCCGUGUGAACUUAGCCAAGGAAAGUAAACUCUGUACCAUCCUUUUUCUAUCUGUAAUAUCAGAAUGACAGUUCUUCCUACUUUGUAGAAUGGAUAGGAUAAAUGAAUGACAUAUAUAUAUAAAGAAGACAUAUAUGUAGAGAAAAUGACAUAUAUAUAUAUAAAGAACAAGAGAAUGUUAGCUAACAUAAUUAUGAAAUCAUUAUUAUUAUUAUCAUUGUUCUUCUUUUUUAAAAAAAAAUCUUGCUACCCCUUUGAAAAUCAUCACUCCAGUGAGCCACAUGGUGGAGUAAUUAAAAAUCAUACCAUACUGGACAUUACUUAAUUUGCUCGUAUAUUAAUCGGACUCUGUGAUGGCAAAGGAAAUAAAGAGUAGUUUGUUUUAAAUGUCUUGGCAGGUAAGGCAAAAAAGAUUAAACAACAUUUCAGGAAAAUGAGUGAGAUGUCAGCUGCUGCAGUGGCUUCCCUGGACUUUGCUGAGGAUUUUAAUUUAAAGAUGUCCUCCAAGAAAUUGGGAUAUACUUCAAGAUUCUCUCAAAGCAACUGACCCUUGUCUGCUCUUGUGAAUACUCAAUCCAAUUGAGAAAACAGCUGGUGAGCCCCUAUUUCAAGUGAGGGUCUAUAACAGACUUGAGAGAAACCAUAGUAAACAAAAAGGACUCAAGAAAAACACAGAUAAGUGGAGGAAACAUUUGUAGACAAUAGUUUUAAGUAACUCAUGAAAAUACCGUCAUUAAACACCAGACACUGUGCUGAAGCAACAAAAAGAAUUGGAAGAGUAUUGUGCAGUCAGGAAAAGGUCAUUUAAAAAAUAAUCUUAAAACUUAACCAGAAUAGCAGGACAGGUAUAUGCUGGCUGACCAUUGGUCCUGUUUGGUCUAAGAAUUUUACAAAAGAGAAGGACUUGGAAAGACUAAGACUGGCAGGCAAGCAAGUGGGGAUGUAAAUUAAGAUGACAUUACAUGGGAGUUCCCGUCGUGGCGCAGAGGUUAACGAAUCUGACUAGGAACCAUGAGGUUGCGGGUUUGGUCCCUGCCAUUGCUCAGUGGGUUAACGAUCUGGCGUUGCCGUGAGCUGUGGUGUAGGUUGCAAGUGCAGCUUGGAUUCAGUCCCUGGCCAGGGAACCUCCAUCUGUCACGGAUGCAGCCCAAAUAAAUAAUAUUGGGUCUACAGAAAAAUUAUUAGUUUUAUUUAAUUAGUAAAUUUAGCAAAGUUACUAAAUUAGGCUCCUUCAACAAAAAUCAAUUGUGCUACCAUCCAACAACAAAAA